Molecule: non-coding RNA, 1309 nt
Organism: Callithrix jacchus (white-tufted-ear marmoset)
Lineage: Eukaryota; Metazoa; Chordata; Mammalia; Primates; Cebidae
Source: RefSeq, a predicted model, not a curated record
GACUGACUGGGCGGCGCGCGGGGACGCAGAGCAGCCACCUGACGCUGCUACCGCCCCCCUCCGGGCUCCGGCGCCCGAAACCUUCCUGAACACUGGCGCUUUCCGCACCGCCCCACCCCACCCCCGGAGCGGGAGAGCGAGCUCGGGAGUCCGAGCGCUCGGCAGGCUCCCGGAACGGCCUCAGCGACCCGGACCCGGCUGGGCGAGUUGGGGGAGCGGGCGGCCGCCUAGGGGAGCUUCCUUCAGGGCCGCUGAGCGCAGGAGGGGAGCCGCGAGCCCGCCACCGCUGCAAAGUUCUGGGGAAGGUUGCACUUGAUGCGGAGGGGACUGCACCUGGGCCUGCCAAGAAAGGACGAUUGUGUAAACAGGGUCAAAGAGCGGGGACCAGAAGUGCACCGCCCCGGAGUCAGCGGUUAGUGGUGGAGCGAAGUCUUGAGUGUUGAAGGCGAAAGGAUAGUUGGAUGGGUGCGUCCCCUUUUGCUGGGGUCACAACGUGCCAGAGAAAAGGUAUGGUAAUUAGAGAGACCUUGUCUGGGAUCACCAAGAAUUCCAAUUUCCAGAAGUGUCCACUGACUCCUAAGUCACAGCAGAAUGAAAGCUGGCUGAAUGAACUGCAGAGUCUCCCUCUGUUGCUGGGCCGAAGCGCAGUAGCAUGAUCUCCGCUCACGGCAACCUCCUCCUCCCGGGUUCAAGUGAUUCUCCUGCCUCAGCCUCCUGAGUAGAUGGGACUACAGGCAUGCACCACCACACCCAGCUAAUUUUUGUAUUUUUAGUAGAGAUGGGGUUUCACCAUGUUGGCCAAGAUGGUCUUGAUCUCUUGACCUCAUAAUCCGCCCACCUUGGCCUCCCAGAGUACUGGGAUUACAGGUGUGAGCCACCGCUCCCAGCCAAAAAUUUGAAUCUUUAAGUGGAAGAUAGAAUUGGAGGCACACUUAGGGGCUCAUCAGACCAACUUAAAGGGUUUGGACUUUAUUCUGUAGGCAAUGAAAGACAUAUUUUGAGUAAAGAUAUGAGAUGGUAUUUGAGGAGAAGAAGUCAGUUUGUGAUUGGUAUACAAGAUGCUUUGGGGAGAGAAAGGUCCAGGAUUGGAAAAACUACUUGAGAGACCCCUGUAAACAAGAAGUUGACAUUUUUGAAAUAUUAAGUUAUUCCCCAACCCCCAAGUUUACUGUCACCCUCUUGCUUUCAUUGUAUCAUCAUUCCUCACCAUAGCUUACCUCUUCCUGGCUUUUUAAUUUUUCAAAAGUCUAAGCAUUAAAACAGAAAUGCAAUAAGAAAAGUGUUGUAAUAAAGGCUCUUUUCAUUCUUA